Long non-coding RNA from Pollicipes pollicipes, 2257 nucleotides. RefSeq lists it as uncharacterized. The record is from RefSeq and is a predicted model, not a curated record. Lineage: Eukaryota; Metazoa; Arthropoda; Thecostraca; Pollicipedomorpha; Pollicipedidae. The transcript is spliced from 2 exons.
GUGACACGGUCCACUAUUUGAGCUGAGUCGUGAGCUGAUCACUUUAGCUCAGUGACCACAGGGAUUUAAGUCUCAAUGCAAUUUUGUCUUGAACAUCUCUUUGUGGACCGUCAACUGGCCAUUUUAGCCCUCGAAAGUUGCGAUCCUGUGCAAAAGCUAGACGGAAUAAUGCCGUCCAAUAGCGAGGCUUGGAAUAUAUCAGUAUUCAUUUUUACCAGCAUUUUAAAUGUUGUGGAUUGUGUAAACUCUGAAAUAUUAACUUGUGCGUCUUUUGUUUCAGAGCAACCUGGCCUUGACGUGUCCCAAUACUCUGGUGGCAUCUUUAGCGGGGGCAUAGGCUCCCGGCGGCCACUGACCGGCGCCGAGCGCGCCCGUCGCUACCGCGAGCGCAAGAAGCUCAAGAAGCUGUACGAGGCACUGCUGGGUGGCUCGCCGCGGCGCGAGCAGCUGACCGUGCAGCUGUGACGCGCUACGGUCCACGGCCGACUCCCCGCCACCGACGCUGGCGGCACCGGCUGGUGGUGACGCCACGGGCUGAUGGUGACGUCACAGGCCGGCGGUGACGUCACGGUCCGGUGGUGACGCCGCGGGCUGAUGGUGAUGUCACAUGCUGGUGGUGACGUCAUGGGCUAGUGGUGACUUCGCUGGCGAUCGGUGACAUCACCAGGUGAUGUCAUGUGUAGCCUCUGAUGGCGCCGGUGUCGGAUAGGACGAUGCUGCCGUCCGCUGAUGGCGUUAUCGCCCGUUGGUGCGUCAUCGACUCGCAGUGACGUCACCGACCCACGGUGACGUCCGACACCGGUGCUGACGGUACCAGCAGCUGUCGGUGGGUGUCUGGACGGAGGCAGCUACGGACGCGCCCCGGGGGUGGGUUGUGCCAUAAUACCGUGACCACGGCGGCCGGCCGGCCCAGUACAAAGUCGGCGCACGCGCGGCGCAUGGCGCUGGCGCCGAGCUGACGGCGGCGCCCGUGCAGUCUGGUCAGGAGAGAAAUCAAAAUGGCGCCGUGGCGACCGAUUUAUUUCUACGUCUUUUGAGGUUUUUGUUGCGUGGGCGUGUGAAGAAACGGCCGUAGGAUAGUUGUGGUUGGAUGGUAGUCUGAGACUUUAGGCUGGUAAGGAAGUGGGCGGCCGGUGUCACGGCAGUCUAUCGUCAGUUCCCUUCAGCGACGCCUGGUCGGCCGGAUCAGCCAUUCCACUACGAAAUGACGUGCGUUAUGCUCGCCUGCCACAAAGCUCCGAUCAAAGAUGAAGCGGGCGUAUCGGGGGUGUAUUAAUGAGUGGCCGGCUCUUGACUCAACGAAGAUAAAUGCCUCAUAGUUACGAUAUUUUUCAAGGCUGCAAUGGUUGUGUUUAUUUGUGUCCGGCAGAACUGCGCCCAUGAGAUUUUCUGCUUGGUAGAUCUGCUUGCCGGUUGUGGAAUGUAGAUACGCUCAAGCGGCGGGUAGCCAUGCAGUGCUCCAGGAGGACUGCAGUUACUAAUCAAGGUUGUAGCCAUUGGAGUGUCGUGACUCUGUCGAUGGAUGUUAGGGCCCAGGGCGGCGCGGCCUGGUGUCUGCGCGGUCCGCGGCCUGGUGUCUGCGCUGUCCGCGAUCCCUGUGCUGUCGCGUGCGGCUGGGGUGCCGCGCUCUCGUGCCCAGCAAGCUCAUCGGUGCGGUCGGGCCCCCGCUCCGACGCCAGGGCGUUCAUGUAUGUGCCAAAGUCUGACACCCGGUCCGCUGCGCGCCGGCGGCCGGGCUCGUCCCAGCUGUCGUCGGCCCCGGGUCGGCGCGUCCCGGUGAACCGGCCGCUGGCGGCACAGGCCAUCCCGGCACACGGCUCCCGCGUGGAGGCCGCCCAGCGGGGACGCGCGCCUGCUGUUGACAGGUUGUGGACGUGAGAGGCGGGCGGAGCAGCGGCCAGCGCUCAACCGCCGAUGCUUGGACUAACUUUCAGCCGUCUUGGAUUUCGUUACUGCAGCCUCGAAGGCCUAGGGUUGGAUGCGACUCUUUUGAAGCACCUACCAUCCGGUGCGUAAAAAUACCUCCGUGGAACAAACGUGGUUGUUCUGUUACUCAGUCGGAUGAUUUGUGUUGUGUCUUGCCGUUUCUAUGUUUCUGAAACGCUCCCGGUUGUCCGUGCGGUACUUCCUUACCACCAUGCUUGCUUCAUGUCUUUUGUACAACAGGCUGGAACGCAUCAGCACAGGGAGCGAGGUCGUGUCGGUCGAGUGCUUUUUGUUCUUGAUGUGCGUAAUAAAUCAGUGUCACACUAACGUA